RNAcentral lists this long non-coding RNA (1242 nucleotides) under Equus caballus (horse). RNAcentral's name for it is "lncRNA (ENSECAG00000048132.1)". Lineage: Eukaryota; Metazoa; Chordata; Mammalia; Perissodactyla; Equidae. The record is from RNAcentral.
GUAAAUUUGAGGAUCUAAUUGACUUUAUGUAAUGAUUCAUGAAUUUGGCAGUAUCCCAUCUUAGCAGAUGGAAGGAACUCUGUGUAGCUGAACAAACUGAAAGGCUUUUAUAGGCAGAAGGGGGUAGGAAAAGGAAAUUUCUAGCAAAGAGUCGAUUGCUUCAGGCAAAGUCACCUUCCUUUGGGAGACAGAAGGGAUCCAUCGGGCAGAUUACCUCACUACUGCUAACCAGAGAAUGGGAGAUCAACAGAGAGAAGCAAAAAGGUCUGCUAGCAAAGGAGCCAAAUAAGCAUUUGCAAUUUGUUGGAGGCGGACAAAGAACAGAGACCCCAGAGUGCAAAACACCUCCACACAGAUCUCUCGUUGGCUUCAUCCCUGUCUUCAACCAUAUGAGCUCUACUAUGUGUAAGACCAAUGAGGAUUUUUGGUGAACGAUAGAGUUGAAUAAAAUACAAUUACGCUCCUUGUGGACCUGGCAUUCCCUGGAAUGGCUUCAAAAAGGGGGUGCAGUAAAGGCAGUUAUGGCCAAAUUUCUGAGAAGCUUACUGUUGACUCUGCUGGAUUGUCAUGUUUUCAUGGCCAAAGCACUCCCUGGGACACCUGCCCCCAGUCGUCGUGUUUGUUCUCAGGUCUGUGCAUCUGAAUUGCUAUCAACCAAGGUGGUGUGGAGAGAGUGCUGUAUCUCCUCACAGCCUAAUCGUAGAGUCAUUGCAAGGUGGGAGUCCUCAGCAUCCUGUUAAGCCUGGACCAGCUGAGCAUGACAGUUGCGUUGUCCUCACCCUCUGGCCACAUCACGCUCCCAAACAGUGGAGAUUUUAGGACAGAAAUGACAUCAUGGAUUUUGUUUACUGUGGCCUAUCUUCAAUGACCUGAGUCAAGACAGUCUGUCGCUUGGACUUGCCGUAGAGUGAAGAAUACUGGCUUUGGAGUGGGAACAACCUGGAGUUCAGUGCUCUGCCACUUGCCAGCAUUGUAACCGUGGUCAGUGACUUACCUUUCUGGAAUUCCCUCUUUCUCCUCUGUAAUAUAGGAGUAAUAGUAACAGGCAACUCAAAGGACUCUUACGAGGAUCGAAUGAGAUGACCCAUGUGAAGUGUUUAAGCCUGGACCUGGACCGCAGUAACCCUAAAUAAAUUUAGCCCUUAAUAUGGCUUUUUUAGGCCUAUUUGAUCUUACAAUAGGUUACUAUAAUUUUUUUUUUUUAGUUUUCAGCCCGUUUCAAAUAAAGAUCUCUUGCCUAAG